Molecule: ribosomal RNA, 393 nt
Filed under: uncultured bacterium
Lineage: Bacteria
Description: partial 16S ribosomal RNA
Rfam family: Bacterial small subunit ribosomal RNA
Source: RNAcentral
AUACGGAGGAUCCGAGCGUUGUCCGGAUUUAUUGGGUUUAAAGGGUGCGUAGGUGGUUUGAUAAGUCAGCGGUGAAAGUUUGCAGCUUAACUGUAAAAAUGCCGUUGAAACUGUCGGACUUGAGUGUAAAUGAGGUAGGCGGAAUGCGUGGUGUAGCGGUGAAAUGCAUAGAUAUCACGCAGAACUCCGAUUGCGAAGGCAGCUUACUAAGCUACAACUGACACUGAAGCACGAAAGCGUGGGGAUCAAACAGGAUUAGAUACCCUGGUAGUCCACGCAGUAAACGAUGAUUACUAGCUGUUUGCGAUACACAGUAAGCGGCACAGCGAGAGCGUUAAGUAAUCCACCUGGGGAGUACGCCGGCAAGGUUGAAACUCAAAUGAAUUGGCGGGG